UCUUUGUUUCGGUAAUACCGGAAA
RNAcentral lists this non-coding RNA (24 nucleotides) under Arabidopsis thaliana (thale cress). Lineage: Eukaryota; Viridiplantae; Streptophyta; Magnoliopsida; Brassicales; Brassicaceae. The record is from RNAcentral.